This 123-nucleotide ribosomal RNA is filed under the name Pteropus alecto (black flying fox). Lineage: Eukaryota; Metazoa; Chordata; Mammalia; Chiroptera; Pteropodidae. The record is from RNAcentral.
GUCUAUGGCCAUGCCACCCUGAACAAGCCCAAAUCCUGUCUGAUCUUGGAAGCUAAGCGGGGUCGGGCCUGGUUAGUAGUACUUGAAUGGGAGACCACCUAGGAAGACCGGGUGCUGAAGGCG